CCUACGGGCGGCAGCAGUGGGGAAUCUUGGGCAAUGGGCGCAAGCCUGACCCAGCAACGCCGCGUGAAGGAAGAAGGCUCUCGGGUUGUAAACUUCUUUUCAGAGGGAAGAGCAGAAGACGGUACCUCUUGAAUAAGCCACGGCUAACUACGUGCCAGCAGCCGCGGUAAUACGUAGGUGGCAAGCGUUGUCCGGAGUUACUGGGUGUAAAGGGCGUGCAGCCGGGAAGACAAGUCAGAUGUGAAAUCCCGCGGCUCAACCGGCGAACGGCAUUUGAAACUGUGUGACUUGAGUACCGGAGAGGUCAUCGGAAUUCCUGGUGUAGCGGGGAAAUGCGUAGAUAUAAGGAAGAACACUAGGGGCGAAGGCGGAUGACUGGACGGCAACUGACGGUGAGGCGCGAAGGCGUGGGGAGCAAACAGGAUUAGAUACCCGAGUAGUC
Molecule: ribosomal RNA, 442 nt
Filed under: uncultured bacterium
Lineage: Bacteria
Description: partial 16S ribosomal RNA
Rfam family: Bacterial small subunit ribosomal RNA
Source: RNAcentral